Molecule: ribosomal RNA, 839 nt
Filed under: uncultured bacterium
Lineage: Bacteria
Description: bacterial SSU rRNA
Rfam family: Bacterial small subunit ribosomal RNA
Source: RNAcentral
AGAGUUUGAUCCUGGCUCAGGAUGAACGCCUUUGACAGGCUUAACACAUGCAAGUCGAGGGGCACCGGGGGACUAACAAUACUCCCGCCGGAAAGCCGCGCACGGGUGAGUAACACGUAUGAAACCUGCCCGUAGCAAAGGGGAUAAGCGGAAGAAAUUCCGUCUAAUACCGCGUAACAACCCAUGGAGGCAUCUCCGUGGGUUUAAAGGAAUCGAUUCCAAGCUACCGAUGGUCAUGCGUCGCUUAGCUUGUUGGCGGGGUAACGGCCCACCAAGGCGACGAUGCGUAGGGGUUCUGAGAGGAAGGUCCCCCACACUGGUACUGAGACACGGACCAACACUCCUACGGGAGGCAGCAGUGAGGAAUAUUGGUCAAUGGCCGCAGGGCUGAACCAGCCAAGUCGCGUGAGGGAUGACGGUCCUAUGGAUUGUAAACCUCUUUUGUCAGGGAGCAAAGGGCGCCACGUGUGGCGUUUUGCGAGUACCUGAAGAAAAAGCAUCGGCUAACUCCGUGCCAGCAGCCGCGGUAAUACGGAGGAUGCGAGCGUUAUCCGGAUUUAUUGGGUUUAAAGGGUGCGCAGGCGGAAUGUCAAGUCAGCGGUAAAAUUUCGGGGCUCAACCCCGUCGUGCCGUUGAAACUGGCGUUCUUGAGUGAGCGAGAAGUAUGCGGAAUGUGUGGUGUAGCGGUGAAAUGCAUAGAUAUCACGCAGAACUCCGAUUGCGAAGGCAGCAUACCGGCGCUCAACUGACGCUCAUGCAUGAAAGCGUGGGUAUCGAACAGGAUUAGAUACCCUGGUAGUCCACGCAGUAAACGAUGAAUACUAACUGUCCCGGGCAAA